RNAcentral lists this unclassified non-coding RNA (401 nucleotides) under uncultured fungus. RNAcentral's name for it is "partial contains small subunit ribosomal RNA, internal transcribed spacer 1, and 5.8S ribosomal RNA". The stretch from base 1 to 73 matches the Rfam family "Eukaryotic small subunit ribosomal RNA", at positions 1759 to 1831 of the family's 1831-position model. The record is from RNAcentral. Lineage: Eukaryota; Fungi.
GCAAACUUGGUCAUUUAGAGGAAGUAAAAGUCGUAACAAGGUAUCCGUAGGUGAACCUGCGGAUGGAUCAUUAUCAAUUUUUUUACAUGCUUGGGGAGGCUCUAUGCCUCUUCAAUCUUCUACGUAAACCCGUUGAACUUGUUAUAUAUUCAUAUGCCUUAUUUGUGUGGGGGCUUUGUUGUUAACAGCAGCACUCCCCACACAAUUGGGACUAUAUCUUUAUACUAUACAUACAUACUACAUCUGUAGACAUACUAUCUCAACAACAACAACAACAUAUUGAAUCUUGUAGGACUCUUUGUCUUGGCUAGGUGGGUAAAACCCUUAGCUAUCAAAAAACAAAACAUAAUACAACUUUCAGCAAUGGAUCUCUAGGCUCUCGCAUCGAUGAAGAACGCAGC